This 372-nucleotide unclassified non-coding RNA is filed under the name uncultured Bacteroidia bacterium. Its description in RNAcentral is "contains 16S-23S intergenic spacer region". The record is from RNAcentral. Lineage: Bacteria; Pseudomonadati; Bacteroidota; Bacteroidia.
UCACCGCUUACGCGGGCAGUUCCGUUAGAGUCCCCGGCAUGAUCCGCUGGCAACUAACAGUAGGGGUUGCGCUCGUUAUGGGACUUAACCCGACACCUCACGGCACGAGCUGACGACAGGCAUGCAGCACCUCGCACGCUGUCCGAAGAAGAUCACGUUUCCGCGACUGUCUACGUGCGUUCGAGCCCUGGUAAGGUUCCUCGCGUAUCAUCGAAUUAAACCACAUGCUCCACCGCUUGUGCGGGCCCCCGUCAAUUCCUUUGAGUUUCAAUCUUGCGAUCGUACUUCCCAGGUGGGAUACUUAAUGCUUUCGCUCAGACACCAACAGUGUAUCGCUGACGUCGAGUAUCCAUCGUUUAGGGCGUGGACUAC